Molecule: long non-coding RNA, 1946 nt
Organism: Physeter macrocephalus (sperm whale)
Lineage: Eukaryota; Metazoa; Chordata; Mammalia; Artiodactyla; Physeteridae
Exons: 3
Source: RefSeq, a predicted model, not a curated record
UGACCGUGUCAUUAUCGACGUCUCCGAGGCAGAUGGCGUGGGGGAAGAGGCUCCCGCUGAACUCCAGGGCCACGCGCUGCUCUGCGCGCCCUGGUCCGCCGACGCUUUCCUGGCCGAGCCGUUUCCUUGGCAACAGGGCUUUCGCGGGCUUGACCUAAUAACCUUGACCUUGCCCUUUGUUGCCCUGGCAGUGAAGAUUCCCAGCCGUCAGACCAUCCCUGAGAAUCAUAAUAAUCGUAAUAACCGAUGACUGUGUGGUUUCCAACAGUGUUUUAAAAAAAACUACGUAGCUCCCAUUACGAGUCUUGAAAUGAGGGUAGUGAAUCGGACCAGCUUUUUAAAAAACGAAAUAGAAUAGAAAAUGCCAAGUAAUCUCGAGUAGUAAGCCCUGUGAAUGAAAUAGUAAAAUAAAUUAAUUAAUAAUCCAGGACAAAAUAGAUGAGGAUCACCUUGCUCCUGUCACCCAGGGCCCUGGCCUGCCCCAGCUCUCUGAAAUGGGACCCUGACCCGGCGCCCACCGUGCCUUGGUUUAUCCUCUUCAUCACUUGGGCUUCUUGUUCUUGACCUUCCUGUGUCAGGGUGCCUGUUUUUGUUUGCCCUGUGUUUGUCAUUUCAUGAAGGUCAUGUCAUUAUGAUUGCAACUUGGAUACAGUUUCUUUUGGCUUUUGUCAAGAGGGCCAAACAAAGUUAGAAAGGAAGGAAAGAUAGGUCUCCGAGAAACAUGGCGAGACUCAAGCCCCCCUGCCCCAUGCCUCUCCCCGCUGCGCCAGUUACUUUAACUGCACUGAGUGUUACGGUCCCAGUGAGUGGAACACAGGCCCAGGCAUGGCAGAGCCAUGCAGACAGAGCCCUGGCUCCGCAAGGAGACCCCUGUUGUUGGCCUUUUUUAGUGAGACGGUUGGCGGGUCUCCAGCGGCACUAUCUAGCGCUCGUCUCAUUUAGGCCAAGCGCUCUCUCGGUGUGGAUUUUGGCUUCCUCCCCAGCACUGCCUAACCAGGCGGUCUUCCUGGUUAGAUGACUUGGAUACGGUGUUGUGUGGGUAGCUGAACAAUAGCUUCAGAAGAAACCUGCUAAUGGCAAGGGAAGGGGAGGUGUGUUAAGCAGGAAGCGUUUCUAGGGAGAUUCUUUGUCCACCUCUUUCUCCACGGGUAGACAGGGUGGUCCUGUUCAGGGUGUCGGCCUAGGGUGCCCAGGGAAGAGACAGGACCUUGAAAUGACUCUUUCUGCAUGUGAGGCCCAGAGCCACUCACCAUCCUGAGGGCGGGGCCGGAGCUUCCAAUGGGCUCAGUGUGAGACUUCCACAGGUGCGAGUCGCAGUGCACCUUAGCGUGCUGAAGGUUCUAGAGGCCGUGAGGCACGGAAGGCUGUUCCUCACACUCGCUUGACCUAAUAGCCGUGAGGCAGAACAGCAGUGUGGGCCCUGCUCUGAGUGGGAUCGUCAGUCAGAGCCCACUGCACUUGCGUGUCCUUUCCCCCGCCCGCCCCCAUCGGAACCCGUCAGAGCUGGUGCCUGUCCAGGACUCUACUGGCCAUUAACCGAAGCAGUGGAGAGUCGUUCUUGUCACCGAAGCCCAGACAUCAGGACCUGGGCUUGAAACGCGAAGGGCGGUGAAAGUGUUUCAGAAGCGGCUGGAGGUGGUGCUUGUGCAACACUGUAACCGGACUGAAGGCCACGGAAUUGUUCGCUUUAAAUGGUUAAAACCAUGUGAAUUUCACCUCAAUGAAAAACAAAAUACAAAAGUAACCGUUUUAUGUGUGAGGCACUUCUAACCGUGGAACCGGAGACUGGAGAUCUGAAGGGAACGUGCUCGUCUCCGGUUGGGGGACAGGGCAUGGCUGGUCCUCUCUUCUAGUCAAGGAGCUCUCAGUUCACGAAGGCACUGCUUUUUCUUGAUCACUCGUCCUUAGAACCACUGUGUGAAUCUUUCACAUUCUCGCUUUGCCUC